UCACAACACAAUUGCCUUAAAGAUUGGCUCAAUUUUCAAUAAUCCUGCAUUUGCUAUUGGGGAAAAUAAUCUCGGUGAAGGAAAAUGUUGUAUCUUACAGCUACUGAACUGAAGUAAAUAAGAUGGAAAUGGGAUGUUGUACUCUUUGAAGAUAACUGAUUGCUGUUCAGUGACAAGACUCAUUCAUCAUUUCCACUUUCCACUGCAAGCUGCUCAUGGAAUCCCACACUGACCAGCUAUACAGAGGGUCAAGAGAUGUUCCUGGAUCAGUGUCAGUACUUGAAGAACAUAUGUGAACAGAUCAUCCUUCAGGGACAAGAGGCUUUGCAGAAGGAUCUACUUAUAGUACCUUGGAGAGUUGGACAGUCCUCAAUAGCAUGAAGUUCAACAAAGGAAAAUGCCAGGUUCAGCACCUGAGAUGGAGUUAUGCCAGACACAG
Long non-coding RNA from Oxyura jamaicensis (ruddy duck), 439 nucleotides. RefSeq lists it as uncharacterized. The record is from RefSeq and is a predicted model, not a curated record. Lineage: Eukaryota; Metazoa; Chordata; Aves; Anseriformes; Anatidae. The transcript is spliced from 4 exons.